GAUAGUCCAUCCAAAAAUGAUUACUCACUCUCAUGACGUUCCAAACCUGUAAGACCUUCAUUCAUCUUCGGAACACAAAUUAUGAUUUUUUUGAUUAAUGCAGCUGACACGUUCAAGGCCUAGAAAGGUUAUUUUUUCUACCCAACCGAGUUGAGCCUGUCUCUGACGAAACAACCCAUUGCUGAGUUUGCUGACUUUCUGAGUCCUCUACAGAAGAGAGUGGUUCUCAGCACCAUUGAUUUCCACUUCUUCAGCAAAAUAAAGUUUUUGGAGUCAGUCAUGGCAUCUUUCAGCUAUGAGUGAAACACGAGGCCACGGUCUGAAGUUCACAGUUAACCCCGAACAGCAGCCCUUCUUUGGCUCAGAUUUCGGUGACAUUAGCGCUAUUUCGGUAAAAAGCGAUUACAGAGAACAGUUAAAUACACUAAAAUUAAAAUUCUACUUUUAAAUGUUACAUUUUCAAUGUUUAAAAUGCUUGUUAAAUGAGUUUAAAUGUAUGUAAUAUUGUAAACUAUGCUGUAUUCACCCAAAUACAUUUAAUUUGCCUUGUAUUUUGUCCCUGUGCUCUUGCUUAAUACUAGAUGUUCAUCUUUUGAUUAUCCUCUAGUAAUUCUGUGUGUGCUUUUAUAAGUUCCAGUCUAUUUUAAACCAGCAAUAUAAUAAUUUUUUUUAAACAAUAGUUGACUUAAAUAAAAUAACUCGGCAUGUUUGGUAAAAACAAUUAACCCAACCAGCUGGGUCAAAAUAAUCCCGCAUGUAUUCUGUCCAAUAUUUACCCAGCGCUGGGUUGCCAAAUAACCCAAACUGCGUUGUUUUUAACUUAGCAUGUAGUAAGGACAUUGUUAAAAUAGUCCAUAUGACAUCAGUGGUAAUGUUAUGAAGCUACAAGAGUACUUUUUGUGUGCAAGAAAACAAAAACGACAACUUUUUUCAACAAUUUCUUCUCUAAACGGUGUAUGCAUGUGGUGCUCUUGACAUAGGAGCUGGCGUUCUGACGUAGCAUCAAAAACUGGUGUCGCUUUUGCAAAAAGUACCUUUGCAAAUGAAGUGAAGAUGAACUGGAUGAUUAGCUCACACCAUAUGUGACAUUAUGGCUUUUCAGUUCUUCAGCGUGAACUGGAGGUGAGAAGGAGUUACAUGCUCACAGAAGCUAACUUUCACAUAUGUGACAAAUUUCACAUCUUCUCUGCGUAGUUCACCUGUUACACCUGUGCUUUGUGUUUCCACAAUGAUUUGUAUACAAAUUAUGAGUUGGUACAGCCACUGGCAACUAGCUGCUGGUAGACGCCUGCACAUCUCGCUUCAAAAGAUGAGAGAACAAAAAUGGGUGAGUGGAUAUUUGGCUGGAGACUCUCUCAGCUGGCAAACAAACAUCUUGUAUCAAGUAGGUCUGUCAGCACAGCCAGACCUUCUUGUGAGAAAUAAGUGGUUAGUGCAUAGUGAGAAAAGAAAGGGUGAGAGUUCAAUUUCAGGUAACAUGUGUCUUUUUCCAAGCAAUUGAGAGACUCAACGCAAUGCCAGUCGACGCAAAUGGAAAACAACAAACUCACUGACCGUAUUUCUUUCUGUUUCCUCAGGAAAUCCUACAGGGCCACUUCUGUCUGCUAACUUUAAACAUGUCUGACUGCCAUGUAAAUCCCCAAGGACAAAGCAGACAUGAUGGGAAAUGCCUUAUGAGUAAAAUAGAGACAUUAAAUCAACUGCUGCAGCGAGGUGUAUACUGUAUUGUAUAUUAUGGCUGCAACGAUUCCUCGAUUCUAUUUGAGUAUUCAAUUAUAAAAAAUCCUUGACUCCAUUUUGCCCGUGGCACGUUCCACAUACUAAACCUAUUUAAAAAUCACAAUAAAGCAUAAUGCUAUUAAGAAUUCACAAUCGCUUAGAUUUAAUUAAAUAACUAAAUGCAAUGCAGGUUUAAUAUAUGCGCUUUAAUUAUUCACAUGAGUGUAGGUUAAGUACGUGCAUCUCAGAGUGGCUCCGUUUACAGUAAAUGCUGCCCCACAAACUGUUAUCAUUUACAUGUGUGGAGCAUCUCAAACAUCUCUGCAUAUUGUUAUAAGUUUGGGUUUAUUAUAACGUUCAUCUGGGAACGCAAUGUGCGUUAUUUCACCAGAUUUGUAUGGUAAAUAAUUUAUAAAUGUGCAAACACAAGAGAAUAUUCUUUCUCAAUAUCCUUACUGUUCAUCGCAAUUUCAAAAUAAAAGUUUACACACAUUUUCGUGUCCACAUAUUCAAGAAAUUACAGUGGCUGUAACUUUUCUAUCAUAGAGAAAUGGCCAAAUAUUAAAUAUUAAGUGGACAUUUGAAUUAAAUGUUGUUGGGUCAAUGUUAAAAAUAGAUUAGAUCACGCAGUAAAGUGUAAAAACAAUCGUCAGGCUGUUGGUGCCCUCUGCCGUCAUUUGUUAUAAUGCAUAAUGAACAUUAGCUCUAUUGUUUAUAAUGCAUUAUGUAUUUUUAACAGUUUUGUUCAAUAAAACCACUAUUACUUGCUUUUGAUACUUUAUUUGAACUAACUAUUAUUGCCUCAUUGCUAUUAUAUAUGCAUUUUAAGUCAUUUUAAAAACUAUUGUUCACUUAGGUCAUAAAAAAUAAAUUAUAAUUAUCCAAUUACUUGAU
Labeo rohita (rohu) is the source of this 2613-nucleotide long non-coding RNA. RefSeq lists it as uncharacterized. The transcript is spliced from 3 exons. Lineage: Eukaryota; Metazoa; Chordata; Actinopteri; Cypriniformes; Cyprinidae. The record is from RefSeq and is a predicted model, not a curated record.